Molecule: long non-coding RNA, 18512 nt
Organism: Mirounga angustirostris (Northern elephant seal)
Lineage: Eukaryota; Metazoa; Chordata; Mammalia; Carnivora; Phocidae
Exons: 6
Source: RefSeq, a predicted model, not a curated record
CCAUGAAGAGCAGACAUUUCUAAUAGGAGUUAUGCAAAGCCCAGCUCUGACUCAGCAAGGGAGAAGGGGAGAUGGCGGAAAUGUCCGGGAGGCUUGGGUUUUCCAAAAUGCACUAAAAAGGCUAUCAGUUAACUGAUCAUUACUCUCAUUAUAGCCCCACUUCUCUGCCCAGCUGUAGUGGUUGGGGAAGAAAUUGUUCCUGGUGAAAUCCACCUUCAUUUAAGUCCCAGUCCUGGAUGGAGGCAGCAUGUUGGCCUACAUUGUUUUUCAAGGGCUGUCCAGUGCGUUUCCUUUGGUUUGCCCAAAGCUGUUUCGCAAUUGCUGUUAAAAAUUAUAACUCUGAGGGAGGAUUUAUAAGGAGCCAAGAGUUUGCCUACUUGGACAACACUGGUGGGCAAUGUCCAGCUCAGGCAGUUGUCUCCUGGCUGAGAAGGAAUCACACUGCAUUCCGGAGGCAGGAGGCCAGCUCCUUUCAACAGAGGAUCAUGCCUAUGUCUUAAGAGCAAAAUCAUUGCAUCCUGGGGUCUCGCGGCCCUUGGAGAUUUCCCUGACAUGCUCCCUAAAAGAUGCUGGGAACACCUGUUGACUAUGACAUGGCAGGAAUAAUUGAAAGAGGCUAAACUGUGCUAUGGGGAGGGGUCUCUUGGUGAGAAAUAGACACGGCAAGUCAACUGGGAAAGCGCCACCAACCAGAGCCUUGGCAAGAGGGAGUCCAGUUCAGCUAUUCCCUUUUACUGGAAGGAUAGUUGGUAAGUUUCGAGUUUUCCAAACAGAGAAGUAUGCAGCUAAUUCAUUUUACAUAACCUGAAACCUCAAUCUCAAGAUACAUUUCAUGCGGACAUAUAAAAGUGUGUGAGCUGGUGCCACCUAUGGGCAAGUUGUGGUGCUGCAGCCUAGCUCUAUGAGAUGCUGGGUCCAGACAAAAAGCACAAUGAAGUCAGUACAUAAAACGUGCAAGGGAGUUUUAAAAAAUAUAUAUAGUUAUAAUUGUUUGUUGGCGUAGUUUGUUUUACAAGGAGGUAAUAAUACAAGCUCUUGGAAUUGGAGACAGAAAUCAUUAAAUUGUAUGCAAGAGGAUAGAGAAAAUUGUAUUGUAGGAAUUUCUUUCAGAAAAAAUUCUGUGUGCACAGGAAAGAAAUUCUCUGAUAAAUCUUUUUGGUCGUGGAGUAAGACGCCAGAGGCCAUGCUCCCAGGAGAGUAGAUGGUCUACUGCCUACUAAGGAAGGUGGAUCCUGUUAGCUGGCUAUAACUGACCUGGAUGGGGUAGACAAGGUUGAGGGCAAAGCUGCAUUGCUUGACCUAAUAGAAAGGAGAUGGAGCAUUUUCAGGGGAGUAUAGAAGAGGAAGAUCACCAGGGGAAGCACGAGAGAAUGGGAACUGGGAGGAUAGGUAUGUCUGAUGAGGAACAGAGGAAGGGUGUUGUGAGGGGUACAGGGUACCAUCUCUCCUGCAUUUCCUCCAUGGAAAAUCUGGUUGGCUUUCUUUGUGGAAAAUGGAUAAGGGGUUGAGAGCCUGGGUUGACCCGAGUUCUUAAUAGAAUCUUGGACUUGAAAGGGAUUUUAGGAGGUCACCAAGCCCAUUCCCACCCAAAGUAGAAGCCCCUUCCCUGAUCCCCAUGGGGGUGUGAGCAGUCUGGUUCAAACACAUCCAGGACAGUGGGCUUAGUUCUCAGGAGGCAAACAGGACCGGCAAGAACUUCUUUGCUUAAUUCAGAGGAAUUGUGAAUACGGAAGUGACUACACUAGAGGAGGGCAUAACAGCAAAGUCAUCAUAGUUACUGGGGCGAGUGUUCUUAUUGGUGCCAAGCAUUUAACUCACAUGAUCUCAUUAGAACCCCUUGGGAAAGUCGUUCCUUCUGCUUUGGGUAUAAAGAUGGAGAGGUCUUGCAGGUCCUGCUUGGCCGGCCUGUAGUCACACAGCGAGUGCGAGGAGGAGCACGCAUUUGAACUCUCGUGUCUUGAGCUUGUGGCCCUGUCACCAUGGCUUCCCUGUGGGUUUUGCUGGGGAAUCAGACCCUGACAACAUGUGUGAGAGAACACGUGUUGUGUAGAGUGUGGACUCAGUGUUGUACCUGACUGAGGUCUCCAAACUCAAGAGGAACAGAACUUCUGAAGUGGUCAAACUGUUUGCAGAGGAAACUUGGAGAGCAGAUAAUCUCUGAGAAACACUCAAGAGAACUGGGAUGAUUUCCUUUGGAGAAGGCGGAUUGUGUAAUGGGUCUUCAGGUUUAUGAAGGAUUUUUAGAGACAGUGGCCACCAGCUGUUCUUCAUCUCUACUCUGGACUGGGGAGGAGGAAAUUGGCUUAAACAGCAGCCUGAGACUGUCUAUAUGGAAGAAUUUCCUGACCCUGGAAUGGGUCAGUUCAGAAUUUAAAAAAAAAAAAAAAGGCCCUUUUUCUGAGGACACCAAAUGGAAACAAGCUUCGUCCUGGUGUAUGGGGACCACUGAGAAACCAACGCCUUUCUGCCUUACUGGUCAGACUCACUAGAUGUGCCUCAAGAUUUUGUCUCUAGAAGCACUCAGGGAUGGAGGGGGAUGUUGUGGGAUCCCUUGAGCAUCUUCCCUGACAGCUCCAAUCCGGCUGUGCCCCUGUUAUAGCCCAGGACCUCUUAAUAAUGCUGGAUCUUGCCAAGCACUAGGGAGUGUGCACAAGUAAGUGCCAAGGCUCUGUGCCACUACUCUGCCCCGGCAGUUUUCUGGUCCCUGGAAUGGGCUACGAGUAUCUCAUGGGAUUCUGGGGAGGGGGCAAGGAAAUAAUUUAUGUGUAGGUCUAGCAGAGUGCUUGGCAUCUAGUGGUGCUGAGUAAAUGAGAGGCUUCUGCUCCCACAACCCAAAUCGCUAGAAUUUCUGUGAAGUCUAAAUAAACUCCAUUUUUUGACAGUAAAAUGAGUUGAUUUUGAGUUAAGUUCUACAAGAUUACUGUCAGACCUAGGCAAAGGUUCAAGGCGCACAACUUACGCAGUAGGGGGUAAAGCACGACUUAAAAUCCCGCAGCCCUGCUGUAUGGAUGGAAUCCGAAUACACAAAGCACCUGGGGCACGGACUUGUGUGCAACUGCCGAAUGAAUGUGGAGUCUAAGGCUUGUCGUGGGAUUUGUUCUCAACUCUUGGUCAUACCCAAACCUCCUGGGAGCCCUUCCUGGGCCUCUCAGACUCUGGAGAUUUAUCGACAACCUGAACUGGCCUGUAUAUAGAGGGGAGGAACAUCCUCCCUUUUGGCAGACGUGCUAGAAAGGGAGCUUCUGCAACCUCCUCCUUUGCCUUAAUUUCCCUGGAGCAGCUACUCUGAUUGGCCAGCGCUGGCCAAAGGAGGAGGGGUCACUGAUGACGUACUACUACGCUGGUGUGUGGCUCCGCCCCUGGCUGGCUGUGUUUUCUGGAAGAAAUCUCUGUCGCAGAAGGAACUUCUCCUGAGGACAGUUGGAGAGGUGGAGCGCGUCCCAGCUAAGGACCCAUGUAGGAGCUGACACGCUUGUGCCCGCCGGAGCCGUCUCUGGAGGGUUCUGAGGUCUGAGGAGGAGGUGCCUGCCUAACCGCUAACACAGAGACCUCCCGGGCCGAUGACGGAUGAGGCCACUAGAUGGUACUUUGAGAUCAUCUUCCAUGGAGCAGGAGCAGGAUCUCCGCGGGAAGACACGCCAAAACAGAAUCUAUCAUCACUGACGCCGCCCCAGAGCCCAGGUGGCAGAGUCAGGUCUCAAAUUUUGAGCCUUGAGCCAGCACACCGUAUGAGCUCAUAGGAUUGCUGUGAGGACGGCCGUCAUGACGACUCCAGGCCGGGCCGAGUCUGACAAAGUUCUCCCACCUGCCUACAGAAUCACCUCAGCGGAGACCGGGUGCUGCCCCCUUCAGAGAGCUGCGUAAGCUUUGCGUCAUUCAAAUGCCCACCCUGACCAUUGUUUAACUUCUGCCGAAUCCAAUCUAUUGCUCUUGUAGGGGGGUGGAAAUGAUUUUCUCUCUACCCUUCGAGUACUUGGCUGAAACCCCUGUAACAAAAGACAGAUUAACAAAAGAAACACAGAAGUUUCUUAACAUGGAUACCUCAUGUCACCAUGGAAACACCCAGGGAAAAAUAAGUUAACUCCCUGAGGUGGCUUAGAAUUUGGGAUUAAAUACCAGCUCAACAGGGAAGGAAGAGGGGGUUGGUAGGCCUCUUAGGGGAGAGUCAGUGAUUUUUAGGAGAGAUGAAUGGGCCUUUGGAAGAACAGAUGGGAGGUAGAAUAAUUUGUGAUGAAGUUUGUCAGGGUGUGGGGUUGACUUCUAGUCUCUUCUCUUGUGAGAGUCAGUCCUCCCUGGGUGAUGUACCUCCCGGGAGGGGAUCUGUGAUGAGUGUUCCUUUUGGGUAUCUGGUAUCUGCCUUUAGGCAGAUAAAAGCAAUUCAGUGAAAGCCUCUCCCUGUAUUUGCCGUUUUUCAAGUGCCUACAGCUCUAAGCAAUCCGUGUAUCAAAGAGGAAGAUUUGGGGGCAGCAGGUCCUGAACUCCUGCGGUCCUAUUUUGGGGUGGCAUAUUCUGCUACCCUUCGCUCUCUCAUUUACAAGACUUUAAGCUUCCUACAUCGAUUAGGCUACACAGACAAGCCCUCUUCCGGCUCCAGCCCUGGCGAGACUGCCACUCAGGGUGAGUCUGGGGGGCUUCUGAGAAUACCGUGUGCUGGUUCUCUCAGUCUCUGUCCUAGCUGUACCCUGAGCCCACCUCUAUGUGCGAUGUUCUGUGACCUUCCCUCAUCCUUGGAUAGGUUCAAUCUGGACACCGAGAGAGAGAUGUUAGGGAACUUCAGACUCCAUUCCAAGCUUGAAAAUUCUAGAGCCCAACUCAGGUAGCUGAAAAUCUAGUCUCCAUGAAAAUCAGUCUAGAAGAUCUGGCCCUUUAGCUGGAAAUGUUUUGAAUCAUCUUAAUCACAGGACGAUGACACUCUGGGGCAAGUAUCUCCAACACCCUCAGGGCCAGCAGGGUGAUGGAAAUGAGAGAAGCCAGCCAGUGGCAUCUGUCUGUCCCACAUGCUCUCUCAACUGCAGAGUUGCUACAGAAUUCUGGCGGAUUGUUAUCCAGCGGGAAUACAAAUAUGUUGCCAAACCUUGACAUUUUUCAUUAGGAACCAGAAAGAGAGCUCUAUAUGGAAUUCUCCCCAUUUUGAAAUAUUGGUAAUUAAAAACAACAGACAAUAGUUACAACUCCAUGAUCAAUAGAACAUGUCUGGAGGGCAGAGUGAGUUUGCAGACUCUGCUCUGUGAUAGGCAUUUGCGUGAGGGGAGCAGACUGGCUAGAGCUAAAGGUAUGCAUUGAGAUGUAGCAAGAGGUCCAGCUGACUUGAUUUUAGCCUACAUUUGGAAUGAAGGGUGGACCCCAAAGGACUGACAAGUUUGACUUGUUCUGUUAAGUAAUAAGGAGGCAGCGUAGCAAGGGGGUGGGGUGGGGAGGGGAACAUGAGCUUUGAGUUCAGAGGCUUGGGUUCAAACCUUGCUCCCCUACGUAAUAGUUGUAUAAUGAGUAUGUUGCUUCACCUGAGUUUAGGUUGCCUCAUCCACAGAAUGGAGAAUAAAUCCUAACAGGGUCAUGAGAAUUAAAUAUAUGCGUAUGAAAAUGUCGGCCACCUGGUCAGCGCCUAGUUCGUCUACAUCCUUCCAAAGGUUCCAGAGUGAGGAAGAGAUUUGAUAAAAGCAGUGUUUCUGGAAGGAUGGCCAAAUGGCAGUUUGGACACUGGAGACAGAAAGACUGGCGAGGUCUCAGGCAGUGUAACCAAUUUGAGAGGACGAGUAAUUACUACCAUGUGGCCUUGGAGCCAAGCCCAUCCCCAGUGACAAGACCAUAAAAGUUGACCUCCUGGCUCCUCCACGGGUAAGGUGAUGGACAGGGUGUGAUACGCAGUGCCAACAAAAGCUUGGCCGGGCCGGCUGUCCUGUCUGCUUCCCACCCUGUCCUCGGCCUCCUAGGGCAGCCAAGAGGGGCAGGGCCUGGCCCUGUCAGGACUUAUCCAGAUGCAGUUUUCAAACCCGGACCUCAGUGCCAGCCUUGGGCCCACGCCAGACCCCGACCUUUGCUGGGUCCCCACAGACACUGCUCCUCUAUCUUGAAUAGCCAGUGAGUCUCUGCAGAGUUCUCACCAAUGUUCUGAGCUGCUUAGCAAACUCAUCUUCAGAAGACACUUCUUUUGAAAGCAGAGCAGGUAUAAGUUACAUGCAAGCAUUUCUACAUCAAAAUGCCCCAAAGCAGAGUCCUUGCAAGGAAUUAAAAAACAAGACAAAAAAACUCGAUAGUCUCACCCCUCAGGAGCUGUUGGAAGAGACACGUUUACACACUAAUCACAAUUAAACUGUCAUUGCCAGUCAACAUCACCAGCUUCCCAAAAACGUGCCUUAAAAUGAUUUUUCGCAUGCAGAGAAUCACUGGGAGGGCUUGCUGGGCCCCUCUACAAGUCUCAGAAUCCGGUCUGGAGUAGGGGCUGCAUUUCUAGCAAGUUCCAGGGUGAUGCUGCUGCUGCUGGUGAGGGACUCUACCUUCAGCAGCACUGCUGUGACGGGUUAGUGCUUACUUCGUUCACGUGCCAGGGAGCGAUCCAGAAUGCAUGGGAACCUAUUUCCCCUCGAUGAGUAAAUAGAAGCUGAGGGUAAAUGGCAGAGAUAGGAUAAACCAGUGCCUGAGCAUCUGACAUAAGAGCCACAAACUUCACUGUAAGCCAAGAAAUGGUCAAGGUGGAGGCAGUUCAUUUUAACAGGGAACCAGCUAAGUAGUUGACAAUUUAUUGGAUGAACAAUAUCUAGGGACAGACUCCACUAAGGACCCAAACUCUUUGAUAUAAGCUUUGAUACUCUUCAAGGCUUGCCGUACAAAGUGUUUGCCAGGGGCCAGCAGCAUGAGCAGCCCCUGGAGCAUGAGAACACAUUCCAAUCCCACUCCAGAACUUCUGGGUCGGAAUAUGCACCUUUCCAAGAUCGCUGGGUGAUGCUACUGUACACUCGGUUCGAGGAACACGGACAGAUCGUUCUGCCCUCACAGCUAGUGACCGGCACCAGUCACGGUCCAGGGGAGAAGAGGGACUGCCUGCCCACUUCCAGUGCUACCUGCUAGCUCCAGGGGGUGGGCAGCUCCAAGUUCUGCUCCCCCGUCCACUACCCCCGCGUAGGCACAGAAUGGCAGGCAGAGGACAAAGGUUACUCCUCACAGGUUCCCAGGCCUGGAGGCUACACUCAGUUGAGGCUUCAGAGUAGGAGUAGCAAAUGAUUUUAUUACAAAACUUAAGCUAUUUAUUGAUCAUUCAACUUUUCUAAAAAACACAAACGUGAGAAUAAAAUAAACACACCAAGACUCACUAGCCCUUGCAGGAUAAGCAGCAGCCCUGGACAGACAGCCUGCAGAUGUUUCUCCUUCUACCUGAUGUCUGCACUUCCUCACACAUUCUACGGUCCCAUGUGUUGUCACCUCUUACGGAGGAAAGGAAACCGAAGCUACAAGAUUCACGUACAAGAGGGUCAUGACAGCUUUUGAGCUAGUUGGUGCUGACAGCUUAAACAUUCUAGUUGACAGUUAAGCACUAAUUCCUACUCCAUGCUAACCUUUACUGUCAUUCUUUGGAACUGGUUAUGUUCCUCCACUGUAGCUACAGCCCCUCUAGGGAUCCCCGAGCACAAACCCUAAAAUCCACACAGUCUCCAAGUUCAAGUAUAAAGGUUUCAGGACAACCCCAGACUGAUGUAGUGUUUCUUUGUAUCUCUGUAGUGUCUACUGGCUGUCACCCCCUUUGGCAGGCUGACCAGACGGCAGCACAAUGAGGGGGCACACACGGUCCACUGUCACUGCCUGUUCAAUCUGGACACUGCCCCACAGUCAAGGCUGAACGUUGAAAUCAGUGACGACCUCAGCCUGUCUUCAUUCUGAAGUUGUCCUCUUAAGUAACCGAAUCCAUUUCUUCAUGGUUAAUUCAAUGGAGCUUCCAAAAGGUGUCAGACAUACUCUAAAAAGAGAAUCAGAUCAAGAGGCUUUUUGAUAAGAGACUACAUUUAAUUUUAUGUCCCUAAAGGAAUUUACAAUUAAACUAGAAAAACUGGUAAUGUUUUAUACUCCAUAAUGGAAUUGAGUUUGAGUUCUCCCCCGAGUACAGGCACAAAUAGACAAUGCCCCUCUUAAGGCAGUGCCCCACCCAAGCUUUGUGCUCUUGCUCUGUUCACUCACUGAUGCUUUCCUAUCAAAAAUAAUAAACAUCUUAAUGAAUCUGACAAACAGAACACCAAAGUGGAAUGAGGGGACAGGUUACUAACAAUGGCUAGGUAAGAGUCCACUGCUUACCUGCUGGUUACUGCUCACCUUGACCAAGGUCUCAAAGCCUGCAAAAAGCGUGGCUUUGUGCACCUGUAGCUGACUUUUAAGAUGAAGUUAAAUCCCAAAUGUAACAGGAAGGGGCACGCACAUAACAGAAGAAUCCCACGGUUGUUGACAGUGGUAAACUCUAAUCUCUAAAUACAAGGAAAUCCAGCAGGGCUUAAAGCAGACUGUGAGUCCCAUUGAGGAUGCCAUUUUAGAAGGCACUGUUUGACUUUAUAUUUAAAUUGCAAACCCAAGUUUAACUCAUGUCCAGGUAUAAGACUCAUUCAAUCAACUUCAGAAAAACAGGACUUUCAUUUGAAUUUCUCUUGUGCACAGCAACCAUCCCUGUUGGUUUCUAAUGAAGCAUCUAUCCACAGCUUAAAUGUUUAGCUCUGGGGGCACCUGGGUGGCUCAGUUGUUAAGCAUCUGCCUUUGGCUCAGGUCAUGAUCCCAGGGUCCUGGGAUCGAGCCCCGUAUCGGGCUCCCUGCUCUGCGGGAAGCUUGCUUCUCCCUCUCCCACUUGCCUUGCUUGUGUUCCUGCUCUUGCUAUCUCUCUCUCUGUCAAAUAAAUAAAAUCUUUAAAAAAAAAAAAAAAGUUUAGCUCUGGCGGCACAGAAGAUCACACUAACACAGGAGAAUGCUACCUGUGAGUUCUCAGUAAAAAAUGACUCUUGAACAGUAGGUGGAGUCUCUCUGCAGUAAAUGUUUUUCUGAAUAUAUCAAGAACAUGAUCCCCAAUAGUGGCUUACCCCUUUUCUAUCCAUUUUAUAUAUUUAUAAGCCAGAGAUGAAUGCUCCUGGACAAAAGACGGGAUACUGGACCUUAGGAAGCAUCCUGGGAGGGAGCUGGGGGGUCCUGGCUCUCAGGCUCUGGAGGGGGCGCUGGCACGGCUUCUUUCUUCUUGGCCGCCAGGAACUCGUGAAUCGCUCUUUCUAUCUGUGGUCUGAAGAUGUGGUUUAGUUUGGGAUCCACCACUUGAGAAAUGAUUCUGUCCACUCCAGCUUCCAACAUCCCUGACCUUGUGGAGACAAACAGACCAUUCUCUGAAGGUCCGUGCGUCCUUCCCCCAGCCACCCGUUUGCACCAUGUGUACCUGCCAUACGGUAUCACAACUGGAAAAAUGACACCAGGACGAUCCAACCUUACUUAGUUUUCACACACGUAGCUGCACUCCGUUGUGUGUUUGCCCAGGUAGCUCUGUGCCAUUUUACCCCAUGAGUGACCGCAGGUAACCGCCACCACGAUGAAGGUCUUAGUUCCACCACCACAGCAUCCCCUGGGGCUAUCCCUUUGGGGUCACACUCACCCGCCUCCUCCCACCCCCAAACCCUAGGCACCCCUCAUCUUGUCUCCAUCGCUGUCAUUGUUUAUUCACCAGUGUUACAUAUAUGGAAUCAGCACCACGCGUCUUUCUAAUACUGGCUUUUUUCACUCAGCACAAUUCCCCGAUAUUUCUAUUUCUAAAGAGGUGGGCUUCACAAGCUUUUAGAUAUUCCAGGAGAGUUCACUGGAUCAAGACCUGAACACAAGUGCUAGUAAUAAGAGCAAAAAAAGAUCACAAGCAGAUUAGAAAAAGCCAGAUGCCAUGGCCCGCCUCCGCUGCAGUGCCCAGUGACACCGAGAAGUCACCGGGUGACUGGCAGUGGCACCGAACUAAGGUUCAGGCUGUGACCGCGACAGACGUGCUUUAAUAAGGCUCCAUGCCUUCCUAAAAGCUGCUGUUCCACUUCAGACCUCUCGCCCAAGAUCCAAACACUGAUAUCUUGGUAUAAAACUCCCGCGUAUGGGCGAACUACACUGAAAACUUCAAGCAGCAGGGAAUUAGGUUUCAGAAUUUGGAGUAUCUUUCAAUGCACCCGGUAGAAUUUACACAGGAGGCCUAUGGAGGAUGGAUAAACUAGCAAGAAUGUCAGUUGAGUCCUUUGCUUACUUGAACCUUAACUUUAAUAAAGGGGUGGACUGCUGCGACUUGUGCGUGGGAUUUGCUGUAAAGUACCAUCCACCUUGACCAAAUAAUGACGCGCAUCAGCUUUCUUGUACAUCAUGCUGUGAUUACCACAUUUUCACUCUUAAUUCUAAUUACUUACUGAACUACACUCUGCCUCAGACCAUUUCGCAACUGGUUUUUGUUCAUUGUAGGAUUCCAUUCCUGCUUGUCCAGAUGUGUUGACACAAAAUUAUCCACUUUCUGCCUCAGGUUUUGGUAAGCUGGCUGAAACAUUAAAAAGAAGAGGCAAGGUAAGAAGUUACAUGCACCAAAAUCUUAGAAGUCAGUCAUUUAAGAAUACUGCUUUCCACAGAAAUGUAGAUGUUUCAAGUCCUUAAAGACACUUCCAGCAUGACGAUGAAGACGGCUCUGUAGUACAGUAGAGCAUGAAUUAACUAGCAACAAGGGCUUACUUUAUGGUGGGCAGGCACAAGGCCAGAUGCAUCAUCCCAUUUACUUUCCAAGUAAUGGUACAGGGAGGGUCUAUUAACUCUCUCCUGCCCCCAUUGUAGAGAUUAGAAAUUUAUGCUUAGAAAAAGUAAACAACUUGCCCACAUGGCCAAAAUGUGGCAAAGCCAAGGUUAGACCUAGACUGUUUCUGAAUCAGAGGAACUGGGUUCUAGCCUGGCACCAUCACUAACCGGCUGUCCAAGUCAUCAACCUUUCAGCUUCAGUUAUUUCCAUUUGUAAACCUGAAAUAUUACUGUCCCACUUGCCUCGCAGGGUAUCCUCAGCAAUAAAUAAGGGCUCAGGAAAGCCCACUGCAUAAAAUGAAGGGCCACCCAACCCCAGCAUGAUGUGAGAAUGGAGACUGAAGUCAAAGCCUAUGGAACAUUGGGAAAGGCUGAGGGGAAGCACACCUUAAGUCCAAAAAUGGAGCUUGAGGCUCUUAUUGGCUCAUAGUCGGUUUUAGACCCAACUAUGAUCAGAACAAAAUUAGAAGGAACUUGGUGAAUACAUGGAACAUGUAUUCUCAGCCUCUAAGACCUUCUGGUACGAUCAGCUGCUCUUCUUCAAACCAGGUAUAAUAGUGUGCAUUGCUGUUAGGCUUCACCCCUGCCCCCCUCUGCCUGGGCAGAGACUGCUUCCCUACCCCAGUGAUGCUGAGUUUUAGCAAUGCGACACAGUCUGGUCAAUGGAGUGCUAGUGACAAGAGGCCUUAAAUGUGGUCGUCCUCUGUCUGGCUUGGUUCUUGUGCUCUGGUGACCCUCUAUGACGGCAUGUCCUGGGACCUAAGGUGAGUUUAUAUGUAGCCCAAGCUAAACCCAAGCCCAGGCCACCUAAACCUCCCAGCGGAAGCCUACGUAGAUUAGCUGAACUUUAGCUGACCUGCAGCCCUAUCAGCAUGAGAAUGGAUGCUUAUCAUGUCACCAUGAUUUGGUUUAUUAUGCAGUGUUACUGUGGCAAAAGUUUGCUAGCAGUCAGGUAAAUGAAAGUGACAAAAAAAAUCAUCAGGCUUCAACUCUAUAGGUGGACUCUUCCAAAAGGCCAAGAGAACGGAUUCACAAACACCCAUGUACUAUCUACCUAGCAACUCCUCCUUCCUCUCCUCACAAGGGUAGGACAGAGGGUGCCAUGUUCUCCUGACCACAAAUGUGGUGCCUGCCCCUUGCUAAGACAAUGCUGAUGUUCCCUGGGAUUGUUUGAACAAGAAUUGAGAGUCCCUUUCUAGAGAAAGAAGAUGUAAGAUGUAAUCAAAAUACCAGUAACCAAAUGGAUGACUCUGCUGUGCAGUGACAGUAAAAUAUUAUAAAGAGCAGAAAUGAAAGAUGGCCCUGGAGGCGCAUCCCCGGUUCCAAAUGCAUCCCUACUCUUCUGACAGUUUGUUCAAUCAGUCCUUUCUUGGGGUGCCCAAGUCAACAGAUUCACCACUUUGCUUAAAGAAACUAGAAUUAAUUUGUCACUUGGAACUAUGCAUCCUGCUACUGUACUUUAUACUAUUCAAAAUAAGUCACCUGGUUUGAAAUGAUAGUUACUGUUUACCGUAAAAGGACAAAGGACAGCAAAUGUCACCACCAAACCUGAACAGAUCUUGACAACAUAGAACAAUCCCUUCAGUUCUUGAAGUGAAAGGACAGACUGUGCCUCCCAUUAACAUUUUAUUGCAUUAUCUAUCCCUCACUUGAUUCACUUAUCAGUUUGUUCUAUUUAUUUGUACUUUGGGUGCACUGCAAAGUAAAUUACAAACAUCAUCUGUACAUUUUCCCUGAAAUAUAUCAGCAGUUUGGGAAGGGGCCUAAGAAUAUACAUUUCUAACAAGUUCUCAAGUGAUGUUGAUGCUGCUGAUCCAAGAGGCAAACUGAGAACCAUGGGGCUAAAGCAACAGUGCCUGAAAACACAGUCUUCCAAAAAUAAAACCACCCAGGCACUAAUGGAAGGAACAUCUAAGGUGUUACGUGGGGAAGGCUCCAACUCUCUUUCCCCCAACAGCUUUACAGUACUAAUUUUCUUUCUCUCUUUUAAAAAUACCAUGCAUACCACAUUGAUUUAGCCACACAAAACAGAACAUAAGAGGUAUGAGUGGAGAACUUGUGAUGGGAAGUUGAGAACACCCAGAGUCCUGGGAAAGGUGGAAGUUCAGUUGAUAUGUACCUGAGAACCUUAAAUAAGGAAAAUUAAGCAUUAAAUAUUAAGCACUUCUAACACCACAUAGUGUAUAUAGCAUCUGGUCCACCUGUCAGUUUUCUACCCUAGAGUAUGAGCUCUGAGGACUGGUAGUGACUUACUUGUUUCUGUAUCCACACAGCCCACAUGCUGUAGGACAAUAAAUGUUCAAUGAAUAAAUGGAAGAUGUCUUUCCCUAUCUUUGAGUUAUAAUUUUAAGUUCACAAUUUUCCUGUUAGGUAGGCAGAUUCUCUUAAGAGAGGAGAAAUCACUUCCCUAGAGGGGCUCAGUCAGUAACAGAGCCUCCUAAACCUAUAACCCUAGUCUUGUUAGAAAAGCUUCUGAAAUGGGAGAGAAUGGAACAUUCCAGCAACUACUGUAUGUCUGACACUUAACACACCUGACUUCACUGAAUCUCCACGACUUUGGCAAGUAACAUGAAAUAGCAUUUUACUAGGGGAUUGACCUAUGGCAUUAGGAUCUAAAAUUGGCACCAAAUUCUCUUUAAUCCACGAUGGAGUACAAGAUAAGGGUUCUGCACCAGUGUACCUUAAUUCAACCGGACACUCAGGCCUGCAAAUCACUGAGCUAGAGAAAAGGAACAAAUUGCUACAACGUUCUGAUGAUUGUGCAUUCAAACCAUUCUCCCUUCCUUACCUGGCCUUCUCCAAUGUUCUUAACACACAGAGGUUUGUUACUGAGGGGCUUAAAGAAGUCUCAGCUUGGGAAAGACAGGAUCUAGGCUCUGAAACCAGUACUGAAUCCCCAAGUUCAGAGAAACGACUGGACCGUCACACAGCUAACAGUAAUCGGACUGGGAGUCCAACCCACGUGUACACCACUCAGAAAGCUUCCUGUACUGCCUCAAGCGGCCUAAUACCUCACUGCUGAGAUUUUUAAAAAGUAUCUUUUGUUGUUCUCUCUGCUUUAGAAAAGCCAACCUGCAACCCUGAGGUCUUCACGCCCAGUCCUACCCCGUCGGCCCCACCUACCUUGGUGUCCACGUCCGCCAGGCAAUCCCGGCGGAAGCUGUCAAACAAGCCCCGGCUUUUGAGCUGCUCCACGAUGAGAGCGAUGAGCUGUGGGUCGCCGGGAGGCAGUGAGGCCGGGUUGAUGGGGCCGCCGCUCCCACCGGCCCCCGUCGCGCCUGUCGCCGACCCCGCCGAGGCCUGGCCCGCUCCGCCGCCGCCCACCGAGCCCGCGCCCCCACCGCCGCCGCCGUCCGCCAUGGCUGCGCCCUGGGCCCACAAAGGAAACUGAACGCGACUUCUUCUCAGGGACAGAGGGCCUGGAUCGUGUAGAGGUGGCAGAAGCGCCCAAGAAGGAGGCGGCGGCGGGAGAAGAGGGUAGGGAGGGGCCGGCGGCGGAGGAGGAGGCAGGCUCUGAUGCAGCGGAGGUGGCGGUAGGAGCGGUAGAAACGGCCCGCUCCAUCCCGGGCGUUCUGCAGAUGACGUCACCAAUGGCCUUUGCAUUGUGGGGCGGGAAGUUUUCGGCAGUCAUCUCCGCCUUUUUUAUAGGUAGAGGUCUGGCUGACAGAAACUACAACUCCCGGCAGGCUCCGGCUCGCUGAGCGCUGGUUUGCGAGGGCAGUGUGGGAAUUGUAGGCUCAGGUGCUAGUGAUUGCGAGAACCUGCGCCGGCAUUCCUCGUCCGGUCACUGCAGCGCUCCCUUUGAAUCAGCAGGUCCCAGGAGGGGCCCGAUUAUGAGAAUCAUCUGUGGGACUGAGUAAAAGUAUAAAUUAACGGGUUUGUCCCUGAGAUGUUCGGAUUCAGUAUUUCUCGGUCGGGGCCUGGGAAUCUGCUUUUAAAGUGCACACCCACGCUCUCCUUGAACAAUAGGAGCCCGGGAAAUUUGGGCAACAGCGGACUAAUCAAAUUUGUAUUAUGCCAAAAUGUAUGCGGAAAUGGAGACCUUUUGUUGCCCUGGUCACAUAGCUAGAGGGUGAAGAGGCGGCUUUGAACUCAGGUUUUCUGAAUACAAAUCUUGCAGCGUUUAACCCUCCUGAGAUCUAGCGGGCAUCACACACUAGUCUUCUGGGUUCUGUGAAGAAGGAAAGAGGAAUAAAGAGGACAGCAUCCUCCCUUUUAGCAACUUCCUCUCUCAGUGGGAACCUCCUAUGUGAUGGGAACUUUCUGUCAGGAGACACUCAAGACAGACCACUGUAUGCGACUGUCUGUACGCAGUUCACAGCCAGAGAGAGCGGCCCAGGCCACAAAUGCUAGUAGACAUCAAGGUCAGCGUGGGCUAGAGGAAGGCUCCGCAGGUAGUAUGGUCCUUAAACUGAGCCUUGGAGUUUGGAAUGAUCUGGAAUUGCAAGGGUGGGCACUCCUGAUUCUGAUCAUGGGACCAGCCGGUCUCUCCCCAGAUUCCUGCUCCUGCACUCUGUAGACCCUGCCUUCUUGUUUACUUGCCCUUCUCCUCCUCAUGGCAGCCCCCUACCCUUACGUCUUUCUGGCACUGGACCUUUCCUCCCCACUUCUCUCUCACUGGAAGCAACCAGCCCUGUCACUCAUGCUCACUGCACAGAUGUUUCCCUCGGUGCCCCCAGGAGACCCAGAUGUCCUAGUGCAGCAGAAGCAAUGUGGGUGACAGAUCAUGCAUGGACUUGGAGUUCACACUGACCUGAGUCUGGAUCCUCUUCUGCUCGAGACUUGGAGACCUGGGCAAGCUGAUCAACAGGUUGGGCCUCUCUAUCAUCUCCUGUCCCUGGGGGUGAUGAUCCCUACUUCAGGGCAGCUUUCUGGAUGAAAUGGGUUAAUGCAUGGGUAAAAGGUCUAGUGCAAGUAGAGACACCCCCAAAAUACUGGCUCCGGCUUUGCCCCAGUUCAUUUCAGCCAAGCCUGACGGCAAAGAGGACUGGUGGGGGAGACGGAAGAGUGAAAGCACUGACGCUGGGGAGUCUGAUCACACGGCCCUGGCCCUGGUUCCUGUUUCUAGGAGAGGUGUCUUUUGGACAAGUGACUUAUCUGGAGUCUUCCCAAUUGCUUUGCCCUGCAUGAAACUGGAUAAUGUAUGUGAGGUGUCGCACCCAGCGGCUGACAUGUAGAGAGUGCGAGCAUCACCAUCAUGGCUGAGCCCAGGCCACGGAAACUGAAUCCCUUGGUGGCAUCGAGCAGAAUAUUUCUACCAACCUUAGAAAGAGGGUGAAAUGCGUUGGAAAUGAUGAAUUGUCUCCGUGAAGUCUUCACACAGAGUUGUUCUCCCUCUCUAGCAGAGGUCCCUGCGGGCGAGAAGCAUUUGGAAAUAGCCCCAACGUGACUGAUUUUCUUGAGUUGCCCUUUGGAGCUCGCACACAACAUUCCGUCCUCGGAACUCACGCAAUGCCAAGAGCUCCUCACGUAUCAAGAACAGAGUAACCAAACCCUGGGGCUCUGGCAUCGUGGGGUGACCCAGCACACUGACAACAGCCCGCCGGCCGGCUUUAAGCAGCACAGAGCCCAGGGGCGGGGUGCGCCCCUUACCUGCUUGUUCGAGUGACAGCAGCAGAGAUCAAAGUCUAAUGCACCGGUUAUCGUUCUGUUUUCAGGGGCCCAGCAGGAUUGAAUGGGCUGCCUCUUCCAAGGAGCCCACAGAAGGUGGCCGGGUGGGAACUGAAAGAGGAAGGAGACUCGGCUGAAGCAAGUUUUUCAUCAGGGCUCUGAGUGCCAGGGGCCUUCACCGGGACUCGGUUGAGGGGCCUGCUUCCGUUAUCUUCAGACUGCUCAGGUCCACACAAGUUUGGCAGGCAGGAGGCACAAGAACAGAGGGACCCAACUGAAUAAACCCUCAGGAAUAGAACUGCUUGCAGGAAAACCAAAGAAAUACUGGACGUCUUUUUGUGCCUCUAGACCUGCUUAAAAUGCAUGCUGCUAACAGAGCCUCUGCCCUUACUCUUGGAAAGUGGGCCAUGCAACUGAUACCAGGCAGGAAUAUGCUUACUCCCUCGCCCUUAAUGAUAUGUCACAACAGUAAUUACUAUGAUAAUAGUAACAACAAAAGCAGCUCACACAAUUGAGUGCUUACUGUAUGCCAGGCAGUCUUCUGAGCGCUUGACGGUAUGUUAAUGCACGCAGUUCUGGUUUUAAUCUUGAUUUUCCUUAUGAAUAUGUUCUGUGUCCUUGAGGAAGUUACCCACCUUCUUGAAACAAAGAGAUAUUUACAUACAUUUCAUAGGUUUGGGGAGAGAAUUAAAUAUAAUAAUGUAUGUAAAGUGUGAGUUAUAUAGUAGUUGCUCCCCGAUGGUGACCAAUAUUAUUUUUAUUAAUAAUGUGAACCCUCCUGCUUAUUUUCUUUUUUGUGCCUAUUUCCAAAGGUCUUGCCUUCCUAGGAUCUGUCCUUCUGAAACUGGGAAUGUGGAGAUCCACCUUCUCUUUCUGGACGAACUCCUACUUAACCCUCAAGACCCAUUUCAAAAGUUUCCUACACUGUGAAACCUUUGCCAGGUUCCAGAGUGCAAAACAAAUUGCGCUCUUUGCCAUGCCCCCAUCCUGGCCCUCCUCACAUCAUCUGGUAAUUGGGUCUGUUUAUGUCUGUUUCCUUGGACAGCUUGGAAGUUUCUGGAGGUGCAAACCAGUAUCUGCUGCACUCCCCUAGCUUAGCAGUUAUCCAGGUGUGGUCUGCAGACUCCUGGGGGUCUGCGAAACUUUCAGGGGGUCCUUGAGGUCAAAACUGUUUUCAUAACUCUAGGACAUUAUUUGCAUUUUUCAUUCUAUUGACAUUUGUAGCAGUAGUGGUUGAAACUGCUGGCAUUGGCUUCAGUCAAGGAUAUGACAUCAAAAUGUGCGUGGAAUCACCGUCAUACAGUUGCAUUAAAACACUGCCAACUCCACUUAAGAACGUCCUUAAUGAGGCAGUAAAAUGAUUAACUUUAUGAUCUCUCGACCCUUGCCUUUUUAAUAAUCCGUAUAAAGAAAAGUGGGAAGUACAUAUAUAGCACUUCGGCUGCAUACGAAAGCACUGUGGUUGAAGGUAAUGUCGAGGAAAAGCACGAGUGUGAUUGAAUUGUGAGCGGAAUUAGUCGUUGCUUUUUCAUGACACAUGCUUUUUACUUGAAAGAACAACUGACAAACUCCGUGGUUAUUCAGAUUUGGGCAUUUGGCAGAUGUCCUCUCAAAAAUGAAUCAAGUGAGCCUGUCACUUUAAGGAAAGCAGUAUUUGUUACCAAUGAGAAAGUUGAAGUUAGGUGGAAAUCAGAAGUUUGGAAAACCUGUUCUGCCAUUCUGAACUUGACAUCUUCUCAUUACAUGUCCUGGAAGAGAAUUGCAGUGAUACUAGUGAAUUGGAAUUUUUGAUACUGUAUAAUGAAAUGUGUAAAUGUUUGGAAGAUCUGCAUGAGUCUGUGAAGCAGUUGUUUUCAAAUGAACAAACACGAUGUUAUACAGUCACGCACGGGUAAAAGGCCCAUUCAGAGUGCGAGACGGGUACCUGGGUGGCACAGUCAUUUGGGUGUCUGAUGCUUGGUUUCUGCUCAGGUGGUGAGCUCGGGGUCAUGAGAUCUGGCCUCAUGUCAGGCUCCACGCUCAGCACGGAGUCUGCUGAAGACACACUGUCCCUCUCCCUCUCCCUCUGUCCCCUGCCCUCAACGCAUGCGUGCACUGCCCCCCCUCUCAAAUGAAUAAAUAAAUCUUAAAAAAAAAAAAAAAAG